AUAAAUUAAUAAGUGCAAAUGGCAAAUGCCUAGGCACCAAGAGUCGAGGAAGGUCGUAUGAGGCUGCGAAAAGCCUCGGGGAGCUGCCAACAGAGCUUUGAUCCGAGGAUUACCGAAUGGGGAAACCCGGUUGGAGUAAUGUCCAAUCAUUUCUAUCUGAAUACAUAGGGUAGAUAAAGACAACGAGGAGAAGUGAAACAUCUCAGUACCCUCAGGAAGAGAAAACAAACGUGAUUCCGUUAGUAGUGGCGAGCGAAGGCGGAAGAGGCAAAACCAAUCAUGUGCCAAGUCGGCGGACGUUGCAUGAUCGGUGUCGUGGGACCAAAAUGAAUUAUCUGCCGGUAAUUCGACAAGUCAAAAAAUAAAUAGCUAGAUGAAUGACGUGGGAAAGUCAGGCACAGAAGGUGAGACCCCUGUAGUCGAAAGUUAUUUAUCUUGUAAUUGGUAUCCCAAGUAAUACCGGACUCGUGAAAUCUGGUAUGAAUCUGGCGGGACCACCCGCUAAGCCUAAAUACUCCUUGGUGACCGAUAGUGAACAAGUACCGUGAGGGAAAGGUGAAAAGAACCCCGCAAGGGGAGUGAAAUAGAAUCUGAAACCGUUUGCACACAAACCGUUGGAGCUUCCUUGUGAAGUGACAGCGUGCCUUUUGAAGAAUGAGUCUACGAGUUAGUGUGAUGUGGCGAGGUUAACCCGUCGAGGGGAAGCCGUAGCGAAAGCGAGUCUGAAUAGGGCGAAUCAGUCGCAUCAUCUAAACCCGAAGCGAGGUGAUCUCGCCAUGACCAGGUUGAAGCGCGGGUAAGACCGCGUGGAGGACCGAACCCACUAGAGUUGAAAAUUUAGGGGAUGAGUUGUGGCUAGGGGUGAAAGACCAAUCAAACUUCGUGAUAGCUGGUUCUCUCCGAAAUGCAUUUAGGUGCAGCGUCAUUUGUUUCUUACUGGAGGUAGAGCUACUGGAUGGCCGAGGGGUCCUACAAGAUUACCAACGUCAGCCAAACUCCGAAUGCCAGUAAGUGAGAAGAUGGCAGUGAGACUGUGGGGGAUAAGCUUCAUAGUCGAGAGGGAAACAACCCAGAACAGCAACUAAGGUCCCAAAGCGUGUGCUAAGUGGAAAAGGAUGUGAAGUCGCAUAGACAACCAGGAGGUUGGCUUAGAAGCAGCCACCCUUAAAAGAGUGCGUAAUAGCUCACUGGUCAAGUGAUUUCGCGCCGACAAUGUAACGGGGCUCAAGCACACCACCGACGUUCUGUCAUUCACACACUAUCCAGGUUAUUUGGGUUUCCAAAUGAUCCAGGAGUGUGGAUGGGUAGGAGAGCGUUGUGUAACUAGUGAAGCGGUGGAGGAAUCCAACCGUGGAAGUUGCACAAGUGAGAAUGUAGACAUGAGUAGCGAAAGAUGGGUGAAAAACCCGUCCGCCGAAUGACCAAGGGUUCCUGGGCCAGGCUAAUCCGCCCAGGGUAAGUCGGGACCUAAGACGAGGCCGAGAGGCGUAGUCGAUGGACAACUGGUUGAUAUUCCAGUACCCGCGAUAAACCGUCCAUGCUGAAUCAGUAAUGCUAAGUGUUUGAAGUUGGGUAGAGAUACCUGAUGGAGCGCACGACCCAAGCUGGUAGUAGGCAAGCAAAGGAGUGACGCAAAAAGGUAAUCCAACCCAGGCGAUGGUUGUCCUGGGGUAAAUGUGUAGGAGGUUCAGUAGGUAAAUCCGCUGAACAUAAUCUGAGACAUUACGCCGAGUCGUAAGACGAAGUGGGUGAUCCUAUGUUGCCAAGAAAAUCUUCUAGCGAGGUUUAUAGCGGCCCGUACCCGAAACCGACACAGGUGGUCUGGUAGAGAAUACCAAGGCGAUCGAGAGAAUCGUGGUGAAGGAACUCGGCAAAAUACCCUCGUAACUUCGGGAGAAGAGGGGCUGAUUGUUGUGUAGAAGUUUUCCUUCGAAGCAUUAGUUAGACGCAGAGAAUAGGCUCAAGCGACUGUUUACCAAAAACACAGGUCCGUGCGAAGUUGUAAAACGAUGUAUACGGACUGACGCCUGCCCGGUGCUGGAAGGUUAAGGGGAUUGGUUAGCUCUUCGGAGCGAAGCUGAGAACUUAAGCCCCAGUAAACGGCGGUGGUAACUAUAACCAUCCUAAGGUAGCGAAAUUCCUUGUCGGGUAAGUUCCGACCUGCACGAAUGGCGUAACGACUUGAGCGCUGUCUCCACCAUGAACU
RNAcentral lists this ribosomal RNA (2206 nucleotides) under freshwater metagenome. Its description in RNAcentral is "bacterial LSU rRNA". It matches the Rfam family "Bacterial large subunit ribosomal RNA", at positions 1 to 2033 of the family's 2925-position model. The record is from RNAcentral.